UUUUUUUCUUUUUGAAAAAAGUUUGGGAAAUGGGACAGAACUUUGAAAUUCUUAGAUAAAGAGUAAUAUAUAUCAAUUGUCUUUAAUUAAAAAAACUUUGGUUUCUUAAAGUUUAAUGCUCAAGUGUGUAAAAUAUACAGCUAUUCUUUAAUUAAGCAUGGUCCUUUCCAUUUUUUUCAGAUAAUUUUAAUUUAGUCGUAUGGAUUCAUAUGGAGACUCACAUACCACUAGAAUAUGUGGCUUACAUAUAUGCUACAUGCAUCUCCCUUGUUUAUGAGUUCUGCAUUCGCCAAGGAGAAUUAGUGGUUAGAACAAAACAUGAUCCUAUCAUCGGGAAGUCUCCAAGUUUGAAGCCCUCUCUUCUUAAACUAAUGGUGUUAUCGAAGUGGCUAAUGCAAUGUCCUUAAAAGCUCUGUAUGUAAGUAGUUUUUCUGCAUAUUUGUGAUACAUAAAUUCUGUUGUUUGUGUGAUCUUCUGUUCGUGAUGUAAAAAUUUCGGUUUCUUUUUCUCUUCUGUACCCUAUUCUUCGGUUCUACAUAUUGUUUGUGCAUUGGUUUGGAUGUCAGUGUGAUCAAGAGACAAGAACUUUCAUUUUUGAAGAUGAAUAACAGAUAUUUGUCACAGUAAUGUGAUUACUGCAGUGAUUCAACACAUUACUGUUGCUAUUGAAGUUCAUUUUAAUGUCCAACAAAUCAAAUGGAAGCAUGGUUUGUCUCUCAAAUCAUGUCGAACAUGAAAAUUACAUGAUGGAACUUAAUGGAAAUGAAGCAUGUUGUAACACCCGUUCCUUGUUUGUUUGAAUUUAUUUAUGUUUAUCUAUUUAAUUGUUUAUGUGUGAAUUUGUUUUAAUUAGCAUUAUUUGAAAUAAUGUAUAAUUCUAUUUAUUUAAAAAAAAUUAUAAGGGAUUAUCUAUCUUUAUCAUAUUAUAUAUAUUUCUUUUGGGCAAAACUCAGUGAGGACGCUGAUUCUCUAAAGGGGUGUAUGUAACACCCUAGGCAAAUCUCACAUCAACAAAGCACGGGAGAGAUGCUAGGUUUAUAAGGGUAAUCCGCACUUUGAUUGGUAAGACACAUUUUGGAGAGUAUGGAUGCCCUAUAAACAAAACCGUGUGAGUCUUGUUAAGGCCCAAAACGGAAAAUAUAUUGUUAGGUCUUGAUUGAGUCAUGACAUAUGAUAUUAGAGUGGCUCUGCGUGUACUCUUGAACAAUCGUGGGGUAAACCUCAACGUAACCUCAGCAAGGACGCUGAAUCCCUAAGGAGGGGUGUAUGUAACACCCUAGGCAAAUCCUACCCCACAUCGACAAAGCACGAGAGAGAUAUUGAGUUUAUAAAGGGUGAUCAACAUCUUAAUUUGUAAGACGUGUUUAGAGGUGUUUAGGUGCGUUUUGGGGUGUAUUGGCUAGGGGUAGGCAAAAAAACUGUGGUCUUAAAAACACCGAACCGAACCGGCGGUUUUUUCUAAUUUGGAUCGGUUUUUAUUUUUAAAAAAACCAAAGUAUAUCAUUUGUAAAAAAAACCGAAAUGUCGGUUCGGUAUUCGGUUCAUUCAGCUGAACCAAAAAACCGAACCAAAAAACAUAAUUAAUUUUAGAUUUUAUUCAAAUCGACAUGUGUUGAAUUUUUUUUUAUAGAUCCAAAUAUUGAGUUGGAAAAUGCCUAAAGUUGAUGCUAAUAUUGAUGAAGAUGAGAGAAUGUUGUUGGCGUUUGUUUCUAAAUUUUCUUUUUAUUUUGUGUUGUAAGUUGUAAUUGUUGUUAUUUUUAUUUGUCUUUACAACAUUAUGAUUAUGUUUAUGUAGAUGGAGUAUUGGAGUUUGGUUAUAUAUUUUGAAAUUUUAAUAUUUCAUAUUUUGUGAGUACCUUAUUAGUAGUUAGUAAGAUAUUAGUGAUAAGAUGUGUUUUGAAUACUUUGUAUUUAUUAUUAAUAUUUGUAAUGAAAUUAGGAUAAACUAAUUGUUGAAAAAAAUUAUUACAUUCAUGAAGCCCAAUAGGGUAAAAAUUUGAAAUUUCAAAAUAAGUCCAUAACCGAAAAAAUCGAACCGAACCGAUCCGAAAAAAUCUGUUUGAGUUCGGUUCUUUUUAUAAAAUAACUGAUUUAAAUUGGUUCUACUUAAUUUCGAUCCUAACCGAACCUAAUCGUGUCUACCCCUAGUAUUGGCAAGACUUUUUGGGGGGGGGGGAGGGGGAAUCUUAGUGAGGACAUUAUGUUCUUAAGGGGGUAUGUAACACCUUAGGCAAAUAUCACAUCGACAAAGCACAAGAGAUAUAUUAGAUUUAUAAAGAGUGACUCACAUCUUAAUUGGCAAGACGCGUUUUAGGGUAUAUGGACACCCUAGAAACAAAAUCACGCAGCCAAGUCUAGGUUGGACCAUGACAGAUGAUAUCAAAGUGGCUUUGCGUGUCCAUUUGAAUAAUAGUAGUGGAGCAAACCUCAGCAAGGACGCUGAGUCCCUAAAGGGGGUGUAAGCAAAUCUCAUCCCACAUCGACAAAUCAUCGCAGAGGUGUUGGGUUUAUAAGGGUGAUUUACAUCUUAAUUGACAAAACGCGUUUUAGGGUGUAUGGAUGCAUUUUGGGGUGUAUUGGCAUGAUAAUUUUUUUUUUUUUUUUGACAAAUCUUAGCGAGGAUGCUAAGUUCCUAAGGAGGUGUAUGCAUUUUGGGGUGUAUUGGCAGGACAAUUUUUUUUUUUUUAACAAACCUUAGCGAGGAUGCUGAGUUCUUAAGGGGUUGUAUGUAACACCCUAGACAAAUGUCACAUUGAUAAAAUAUGGGAGAGAUGUUGGGUUUAUAAGGAGUAAUCCACACUUUAAUUAACAAAAUGUGUCUUGAGGUGUAUAGGUGCUCCAAAAACAAACUCGUGCGGGCCUUGUUAAGGUCCAAAUCAGACAUACCUUACCAAGUUUGGGUUAGGUCAUGACAUAUGGUAUUAGAGCAGCUCUGUGUGUCCUCUUGAACGAUGGUGAGACGACCCUCAAUGAGAACGCUGAGUUUCUAAGGAGAGGGGGUGUAUGUAACACCUUAGACAAAUUCUACAUCAACAAAGCAUGGGAAAUAUGUUGAGUUUGUAAGGGAUGACCCACACCUUAACUGCCAAGACGCGUUUUGAGAUGUAUGGACGCCUCAAAACAAAACUAUAUAGGCCUUGUUAAGGUUCAAAGUGAACCAUAUCUUGUUAGGUCUGAAUUGGACCAAGACACAUGCUAUGCAAUUGAAUAUGUGCGAUCUAUCAUUUCCCUAAUGUCGGAAAAUGAUCAAGAAAUCCAUCAUCAGAUUGACAAAUUAGGACCUAAAGUUAGAACAAAGAAAAAGAGGAGGACAGGGAUAUGAAAGAAGGGAAACUGACAUUUAGCACGAUUAUCAAAAACCACGAAUGGUAUAACAUAGUUAGAAAGCGCUUACACUUACUCGAAAAAGAUUGAAGGAAAGAAAGACUAUAGCUUAUAAAAAUUCCUUGUAUGACGAGCUUCGGCUGGUGGUCAUGCUGGAGCUAUCAGGAACAAGAUAUAUUGUUUUCAACUCUUGUAAACAUGACCAGGCAUGGAACCUUGUUCAUGAUUGGAGACUGCAGAAUCUUUCAAGGACCGUCUUGCUGGAUAUGGAAGUGAAAAUGCAGGCUGUAGAAUGAUUAGCAGUUCCCCAAUGCAAACAUCUGCACAUUAUAAAAUUCAGAUUUGGUGCUAUAACACUUUGGAUUGCUGUAAUUUGACACUAUAUUAUAGUCAUUGUAUACGGCCAACUCUAGAUUUUAUAACAUGCAGACAUCUGUGAUGGAGGACUCGGAGAAUGAUAGUCCAAGAAUUCCCAGCAAAGGUACUCAGGAGUUUCAGGAGUUAAAACUGGUUGUAAGUUCAGUAUUUUCAUGGCUAGAGGCAAAAGGCUUUAAGAUGCAAGUUCACCACUAUUCACAAUCACUGCUAGAAGUAAAUAACUUUAUUCUAAUGACGAUACGGAAAACUAAAAUUCCUAACAAAUUUCCACCCACAUAACCCUGUUGGAAUGAUAAAUAAGUCUGAUAGUUAUUAUGCUGUCAUGAAUGGAAAUGAACACAGGAUUGUUGUAUACUUGUAUAUAGAAACUCGACCUUCCUUGCAUAAUUCUCAAACCACAUUAAGAUCAAAUUAUCAGACAAUUGGAACAGUGGCAGAAGAGAGAUAAGAUAAAGAAAUCUCGGAACAUUAUCAUUUCGUCAGUAAAAAGAAUGAUAUCCAUAUCUACAAUAAACAGUUGACUACAUGCUGCUGGGACAUAUAGCUCUUUAAAAGCCACAUUAUUUCUACGGACCGAGUCAAAUAAAUGUACAAGAACCAGAAAAGACUUCAGUGUCCUAAACAUACCAAAUUCUGUGCAAACUCAUGUCGUUCUGUCCUGUUAUUAGAAUUCAGAUUGCUACUCUAAAUAAAGGAACCAACAUGAAUUUUUCUGCCAUCCAAUUACAAUUAUCAGAACUGCCUGUCACUCGAAAACUGCACAAAUAAGCAAGCAUUUAAUCACUCCUCUUAAAACAACAAUUUCAUAAUGUAGCACUUUAACGUAAAGUAAAUGCAGUCACCAAUGUAUACUCACAGGCUGGAUUACUAGAUUCAUUCUCAUUUUUUCUGGAUGAAUUGUAAGUUACAAGACCAUUAACUUCUGAGGCUUGACAAUUAUCC
RNAcentral lists this long non-coding RNA (4644 nucleotides) under Citrus sinensis (sweet orange). RNAcentral's name for it is "long non-coding RNA (CSIN_LNC002457)". Lineage: Eukaryota; Viridiplantae; Streptophyta; Magnoliopsida; Sapindales; Rutaceae. The record is from RNAcentral.